Molecule: ribosomal RNA, 433 nt
Filed under: uncultured bacterium
Lineage: Bacteria
Description: partial 16S ribosomal RNA
Rfam family: Bacterial small subunit ribosomal RNA
Source: RNAcentral
AACGAACGCUGGCGGCAUGCCUAACACAUGCAAGUCGAACGAGACCUUCGGGUCUAGUGGCGCACGGGUGCGUAACGCGUGGGAACCUGCCCUUAGGUUCGGAAUAACUCCCCGAAAGGGGUGCUAAUACCGGAUAAUGUCUUCGGACCAAAGAUUUAUCGCCUUUGGAUGGGCCCGCGUUGGAUUAGCGAGUUGGUAGGGUAAAAGCCUACCAAGGCGACGAUCCAUAGCUGGUCUGAGAGGAUGAUCAGCCACACUGGGACUGAGACACGGCCCAGACUCCUACGGGAGGCAGCAGUGGGGAAUAUUGGACAAUGGGCGAAAGCCUGAUCCAGCAAUGCCGCGUGAGUGAUGAAGGCCUUAGGGUUGUAAAGCUCUUUUACACGGGAUGAUAAUGACAGUACCGGGAGAAUAAGCUCCGGCUAACUACGUG